RNAcentral lists this ribosomal RNA (162 nucleotides) under uncultured bacterium. RNAcentral's name for it is "partial 16S ribosomal RNA". It matches the Rfam family "Bacterial small subunit ribosomal RNA", at positions 355 to 509 of the family's 1533-position model. The record is from RNAcentral.
UAGGGAAUCUUCCACAAUGGACGAAAGUCUGAUGGAGCAACGCCGCGUGAGUGAAGAAGGGUUUCGGCUCGUAAAGCUCUGUUGGUAGUGAAGAAGGAUAGAGGUAGUAACUGGCCUUUAUUUGACGGUAAUCAACCAGAAAGUCACGGCUAACUACGUGCC